AUUAUUGUCAACGUGACUAG
Molecule: microRNA, 20 nt
Filed under: Medicago truncatula (barrel medic)
Lineage: Eukaryota; Viridiplantae; Streptophyta; Magnoliopsida; Fabales; Fabaceae
Description: mtr-miR2635
Source: miRBase by way of RNAcentral